UACGUAGGUGGCAAGCGUUGUCCGGAUUUAUUGGGUUUAAAGGGGGCGUAGGUGGCCCUGUAAGUCAGUGGUGAAAUAUCUCAGCUUAACUGAGAGGGUGCCAUUGAUACUGCAGGGCUUGAGUACAGAUGAGGUAGGCGGAAUUGACGGUGUAGCGGUGAAAUGCAUAGAUAUCGUCAAGAACACCGAUAGCGAAGGCAGCUUACCAAGCUGUAACUGACACUGAGGCACGAAAGUGUGGGGAUCAAACAGG
RNAcentral lists this ribosomal RNA (253 nucleotides) under uncultured bacterium. RNAcentral's name for it is "partial 16S ribosomal RNA". It matches the Rfam family "Bacterial small subunit ribosomal RNA", at positions 524 to 776 of the family's 1533-position model. The record is from RNAcentral.